UACAUCUGGGGCCUGUUGCACAAAAGUAGAAUUAAGACAUCCGGGAUAAAUGACUCAGCUGAGCUCAAUGAAGCCAAAACAUGUGCGUCCAGGCUUAAUUGGUUGCACAAAGACCAAGCCAGGAUGAGCAGACACGGAUUCAUUAAGCCAGGUGAAACCAAUCCUGGAUAGGUGCGCGCUCACGGCUCACUCAAAUAGACCCCGCCACAGAUCACAGAUUAACUGAUUUACCAUGGCAACUAGAGCCGCGUACUUUUCCCCGUCGGAAGCACAAAUCCUCAUGGAGGCAUACGAGGAGGUAAAAUAUAUAAUUAAGAAGAAAGGCAACACCGCCACAGUGAUAAAGCAAAGAGAAAAAGCGUGGCAAAGUAUUGCAGACCGCCUGAAUGCGUAAGUAGUGCACAAUUACACAGUCACCGCUCCGCUGAAACAUCACAAUUACAAUUCAAAUAUUUAAUUCACAUCUCCAAAAAUGCAGUUGUACUGUAAUUAUGAAACGGUUAAAUUUUUAAUUGAAAUGCACUGCAGAUAUGAGUGAAAUUGUGUAAAGUAACUCCAUCACACUGUAUAAAGCUAUGAUAGAUUUUUUUGAUAUUUUUACUGAAAACAAGACAAAAAUACCAAGUAAUUUUUUGCAGUGUGACUCCAUUAAAUGUGUGUGUGUGUGUGUGUGUGUGUGUGUGUGUAGAUUAAACAUGAACGGGCCAAAACGGACAUGGCAGCAGGUCAAAAUCAAAUACAAGAACAUUCUGCAGAAUGCAGUGAAAAAGAAUACCCACAGACAAGGCACGGGUGGUGGGUCACCAAAGGCUGACCUUACCCCAGCAGAGGACAUGGCCUUGGAGCUAAAUAAAGGCAGGCCCGUCUUAGAGGGGAUCCCUGGGGGGAAAGAGACGAGCAUAGGUUCCUCCCAAGAUGCCACCCGCUUCAUUCAAGUGUCUGGCAGCACUGUGUUCCUGUUAGAGCCACCAGCACAAGCACCAGACGAUGCUGAUCCAGUGAGUACUCCAUCAAAGGCAUACUGUAGGCCUGGCAUGUCUUGUCUACUAGCUUCAAUAUGAAUCCGAUUAAAUGUGAUAGGGUGAAGGCCCCAGUACAGCAGCAACAGCACAUGAUGGAGACGAUGAUGAGGAGGAGACCAUCUCUCUGGAUUCCAGAAGGCAUGAGGUAUCAUGUUAAGACUGUGAAAGUACUAUUUACUCUACAAUGGUGAGGAGUCCUCAUCAAAAUCAAAAAAUCUAAUUUCUUUUACAGGACCCAGAUGCUAUACAGUGGGAAAACCAGCCUGGCAACAUAGUGCGUAUUAAUAAAAGGACACCACAUCCUGCCAAAUUCCAGCUGCGCUAAUUGUAUUGUGUUCACAGAGCUCACAAGCUAUCAGAAAGUUGUAUGGCAACCACCUCCGGCGCCAAAUAGAACUGGCAGACAUAGACAUUCAGUACAAGAAGAAAAAGAUGGAAAAUCUUGCACUGGAGUCCGAAAUAAAAAAGAGGACAAUUAGGAAACUGGACCUUGAAAUAAAAAAACUUGAGAGGGAGGUGAGAUAUGCCUUCAAUGUACACUGUAUGCUAACUGUAACACAAAUGUAUUAAUCAUUAUUUUUCUUUCCUCCCCCAGCUCCAAGAAGAUGACACAGCUCAAAAUAAAAAUUAGGUAUAUUCUCGUAAAGUCAAGUGAGCCAUGACAUAUGAGCUCUUAUUGUGAGCACACAGGACGGUGGCAUCUUUCUAAGGUUUUUUUUAUUUUCCCAGCAAUCAGUACAACCAAGUCAUCGUUAUAAGGCAUCGCCCUCUUUUGCCCACCCCCCCAGCAUC
Long non-coding RNA from Salmo trutta (river trout), 1814 nucleotides. The record is from Ensembl. Lineage: Eukaryota; Metazoa; Chordata; Actinopteri; Salmoniformes; Salmonidae.